This 1232-nucleotide ribosomal RNA is filed under the name metagenome. Its description in RNAcentral is "bacterial SSU rRNA". It matches the Rfam family "Bacterial small subunit ribosomal RNA", at positions 242 to 1499 of the family's 1533-position model. The record is from RNAcentral.
UAGCUAGUUGGUGAGGUAACGGCCCACCAAGGCGACGAUCGGUAGCCGGACUGAGAGGUUGAACGGCCACAUUGGGACUGAGACACGGCCCAGACUCCUACGGGAGGCAGCAGUGGGGAAUAUUGCACAAUGGGGGAAACCCUGAUGCAGCGACGCCGCGUGGAGGAAGAAGGUCUUCGGAUUGUAAACUCCUGUUGUUGGGGAAGAUAAUGACGGUACCCAACAAGGAAGUGACGGCUAACUACGUGCCAGCAGCCGCGGUAAAACGUAGGUCACAAGCGUUGUCCGGAAUUACUGGGUGUAAAGGGAGCGCAGGCGGGAAGACAAGUUGGAAGUGAAAUCUAUGGGCUCAACCCAUAAACUGCUUUCAAAACUGUUUUUCUUGAGUAGUGCAGAGGUAGGCGGAAUUCCCGGUGUAGCGGUGGAAUGCGUAGAUAUCGGGAGGAACACCAGUGGCGAAGGCGGCCUACUGGGCACCAACUGACGCUGAGGCUCGAAAGUGUGGGUAGCAAACAGGAUUAGAUACCCUGGUAGUCCACACCGUAAACGAUGAUUACUAGGUGUUGGAGGAUUGACCCCUUCAGUGCCGCAGUUAACACAAUAAGUAAUCCACCUGGGGAGUACGACCGCAAGGUUGAAACUCAAAGGAAUUGACGGGGGCCCGCACAAGCAGUGGAGUAUGUGGUUUAAUUCGACGCAACGCGAAGAACCUUACCAAGUCUUGACAUCCCUUGACGAUGCUGGAAACAGUGUUUCUCUUCGGAGCAAGGAGACAGGUGGUGCAUGGUUGUCGUCAGCUCGUGUCGUGAGAUGUUGGGUUAAGUCCCGCAACGAGCGCAACCCUUAUGGUCAGUUACUACGCAAGAGGACUCUGGCCAGACUGCCGUUGACAAAACGGAGGAAGGUGGGGAUGACGUCAAAUCAUCAUGCCCUUUAUGACUUGGGCUACACACGUACUACAAUGGCGUUAAACAAAGAGAAGCAAGACCGCGAGGUGGAGCAAAACUCAGAAACAACGUCCCAGUUCGGACUGCAGGCUGCAACUCGCCUGCACGAAGUUGGAAUUGCUAGUAAUCGUGGAUCAGCAUGCCACGGUGAAUACGUUCCCGGGCCUUGUACACACCGCCCGUCACACCAUGAGAGCCGGGGGGACCCGAAGUCGGUAGUCUAACCGCAAGGAGGACGCCGCCGAAGGUAAAACUGGUGAUUGGGGUGAAGUCGUAACAAGGUAA